Molecule: ribosomal RNA, 248 nt
Filed under: uncultured bacterium
Lineage: Bacteria
Description: partial 16S ribosomal RNA
Rfam family: Bacterial small subunit ribosomal RNA
Source: RNAcentral
GACAGAGAGAAGCGAGAUAGUGAUAUUAAGCGAAACUCAAAAAGCGGUCUCAGUUCGGACUGAAGGCUGAAAUUCGCCUUCACGAAGUCGGAAUUGCUAGUAAUCACAGGUCAGCAUACUGUGGUGAAUACGUUCCCGGGCCUUGUACACACCGCCCGUCACACCAUGAGAGUUGAGAAUACCCGAAGUCCAUGUCAAAGUGGCCGAAGGUAGGCUUGAUGAUUGGGGUGAAGUCGUAACAAGGUAGC